AUGGAGAGUUUGAUCCUGGCUCAGGAUGAACGCUGGCGGUAUGCUUAACACAUGCAAGUCGAACGAGAGUUUUUAACUCUAGUGGCGAACGGGUGCGUAAUACGUGAGAAUCUGCCCUUAGGAGAGGAAUAACUGUUGGAAACGGCAGCUAAGUCCUCAUAUGCCGAGAGGUGAAAAGUUUCGACUGCCUAAGGAUGAGCUCGCGCCUGAUUAGCUUGUUGGUAGGGUAAUGGCCUACCAAGGCCACGAUCAGUAGCUGGUUUGAGAGAAUGAUCAGCCACACUGGGACUGAGACACGGCCCAGACUCCUCCGGGAGGCAGCAGUGAGGAAUUUUCCGCAAUGGGCGAAAGCCUGACGGAGCAAUACCGCGUGAGGGAUGAAGGAUUUUGGUCUGUAAACCUCUUUUUUCAAGAAAGAAGCUCUGACGGUACUUGAAGAAUAAGCAUCGGCUAACUCCGUGCCAGCAGCCGCGGUAAUACGGGGGAUGCAAGCGUUAUCCGGAAUCAUUGGGCGUAAAGCGCCUGUAGGUUGUUUAGUAAGUUUGUUGUUAAAGACUAGGGCUUAACCCUAGGAAAGCGAUGAAAACUAUUAAACUUGAGUAUGGUAGGGGUAGAGGGAAUUUCUAGUGUAGUGGUGAAAUGCGUAGAUAUUAGAAAGAACACCGGUGGCGAAAGCGCUCUACUGGGCCAUUACUGACACUGAGAGGCGAAAGCUAGGGGAGCAAAAGGGAUUAGAUACCCCUGUAGUCCUAGCCGUAAACGAUGGGUACUAGGUGUUGUGUUUUAUAUACAGUACCGUAGCUAACGCGUUAAGUACCCCGCCUGGGGAGUACGCUCGCAAGGGUGAAACUCAAAGGAAUUGACGGGGACCCGCACAAGCGGUGGAGCAUGUGGUUUAAUUCGA
RNAcentral lists this ribosomal RNA (904 nucleotides) under Chrysotila carterae. RNAcentral describes it as "partial Bacterial small subunit ribosomal RNA". It matches the Rfam family "Bacterial small subunit ribosomal RNA", at positions 1 to 954 of the family's 1533-position model. Lineage: Eukaryota; Haptophyta; Isochrysidales; Isochrysidaceae. The record is from RNAcentral.